CAGCAACUUGAAAACAAGCUGUUCAGGGAACUGGGCUGUUUUUUCUCUUCAAGAUAUAGCCCAUGAAGUUGCUUGAUAACGGCGUACUGGAAGGUGCUCUAAGGUCUCCCCAGAGUCUUCUCUUCUGAACAACCCCAACUCUCUCAGCCUUUCUUCAUAGGACAGGUGCUCCAGCCCUCUGAUCAUCUUCAUGGUCCUCCUCUGGACUUUCUCCAACAGCUCCAUGGCCUUCUUGUGUUGGGGGCUCCAGAACUGGACACAGUACCCCAGGCUUGUCAAUGUGAAGAAAAUGCAUGGAAGAAACUUAUGUUUCAGCUGCACUGUUGGAUCUCUUCACCACAGAAAGAAACACCCAAAUACAGUAAACUGGCAACAGCCUCAAGUUGGAUAUGCUAUCAGAUAUAAAGAGGAGGAAGAACAAUCCUUGUCAACGCUUUUGUGUAAUAUUCAUCAUUAUUUCUUAGCUUUUUUUUUUUACCUACUUGUUCAUGCAGAUAGAAGCUAGACUGCCUUCCUGGAAGAUUUAGUAAGGGCAUACUAAGCUGUAGAACUUCAAUACAGCUACACAGCUUCCUGCAUGUAAAUGCUAAUUGAAGUUUGAGCUUUUGUGAACAAUUCUAAGUAGAACGAAACAAGAAUAAGAUUCUCAGCUUUUACUUCUGGCUUCAUAAAAGCAGUGUUCUUGUGUUUGUGCAUUGUAAUAAAUUACCUCAUAUGGAGCUAUAAAUAUAAUUCAUUUAAGGUAGAGACAUUCAACAGCAUGAUGGGUCAACAAGUGUUCAGUUCCCUGUUCAAGUGCUUAGUUAUCUUCUGCACCUUAAGCACAACAUUUCUGACACUUCUGAAUCUCUCAGUGGUGGUAUUUUGAAAACAUAAACCAAUAUAAUUAUUUGAUUUUGUGAACUGAGAGCUUCUCUGCACAUUAGAUACUUAUCCUGGGGUGACCAUCUAAGUCAACAUUGCAUGUGAGGCAUUCAGAAUGGCUUUUGGAUGCCCUUGCACCGAUGUCUUUGAAUGGUUCACACCUACUGCAUCCACAUUCAUAUCUAUACAUAGCUGAAACAAUGUCAUGUCAUAUAUCUAGAGUUUAAUAUUACAGCUGAGCAUUGCAGAAGGAAUGCACAAUAAUUUUGAAAUUCUUCAAGUGGAGGAAAAUGCUUGAAUGCAGUAAAUAUUUAAAAAAAGAGAAGUACUGCAAGUUUUAAUGUCUUAGGGAUCUACAACAAACUCCCAGCUUUUUCAGUACUUCGUUGCUUUUGUUUACUGCUCCUUUCUCUCCUUUUUCCCCCUCCUCAACUGUGGCUGAAAACCAGCAAGGUGCAGAUGAUAAUUCAUCUCUGGUAAGCGAGUGCUGGUGCUUCUGACUUGUCUUUAAUUGGACCUAAUGGCUAAAGGUAUUAAAUCUUCAAUAACUUCAACAUCCAAUGGUUCAUCUCCAGGCUCUAUUGACAGUGGUAGAAAGCCAUUUCUGAUGAUGGCUUUUCAGUAGCCAGAGAGAAGUAAUCCAGUACCCUUAGACUAUUUCUUGUGACUAAAUGACUUGUGAGUAAAACAACCACCAUGGAGAUUAACCCACAGGCAGACUUCAAGGCUUGAGAGCAGAGAACACUAACACUACAUCAGUGCUUUGAAGGCUGCUUAUUUAGGUCAGGAAUGAAAUGUGCAGUGAGGAGUACAUAGAAGGCUUGUCUCUCCUCUUGUGUCAAACACUCCUUUCAGAUAUUAUAUUCACUUAAAGGGGAGGUGGAAAAAAACCCACCCUGCUUCAAAUGUCCUAGCUUGCAUGCACAAAAAAAUCAAUGUCCUACACAACCUGGUAACUGCUGUUUCUGCACUUGAAUACUAUGAUACCAAGCUGUGCUUGCCCAGGAACCAUAAUCAUGGCUUGCCAAUAUUUACAUACCUGAAUAUUUAUGGUAGAAGUAGUCCCUUUAAACAGACUUGUUGGAUCUGUGUGGUUUGUGCAUCCCUAUCCCAAAGAUGUCCCUGCCUAGACACUCAGUAUGUUUGUACAACUGAGACAUACAUGCUAAAAUGUGUGCAGCCUCAUGCCCAGCACCCUGUAAAGUGCUAUCAACACUACCAUGGCAAUCUGUGUUCCCAAGCAUUUACAGUGAAUACACACAAAAGAUAAACUAAUCAUCAUCUUUGUUUACACAGCAUGGAAUUAAUGCACAGAUUUGAGUCAAGCUUAAAAAUUUUGGAGAGUGCCAAAACCAAGUUCUUAAAAUUCUUAAGCAAGUGAAGAGUCUUUUCCUUCCCUUGCAGACAGGCGAAGACCACUUCAAUGUUGGUAGCACUACCAAGACAAAUCUGUGUGACUAUUGUGAUAGAAAUGUUAAGACUGAUGUGAAUGGGCACAUGUGGCUCUGGGAGCAGCAGCUGGAAUGAACAGCAGGAGAAGGGCUGUACUAAUGGUGUAUGUUAGUUGAUGUAGUGAGUUAUAUUAGUUGUUAGUAGAUUAGUGUGUCAUUGAGACUCCAGCACCAGUAUCUGCAGCUUCUCAGGGCACACAGAGUGGGAAGGACAGCCUAAAAGAAGGAAGACUUCCUCUCCUAGGCUAGAAUAGGGAGUCAGCCAUUUAAAGAUCACAGCAAAAGGCAGAGAACAGAGUAGUAAACAUAAGACAAUGAUAAAAUUAGGAAGGGAGGUGACUAAAUCCAGAUGAUCCAGAGAGAUGGAACAGGUUGGAGAGAUGGACUAUCAGCCUGCAGUGGGUACAAAAUAUCAGACCAAAAACUGGCACAUGGUUUCUGAACCCAGAGGAAUCCAGGGCACAAGAGGAGGACCCAAUAGCAAGUGCCCCUCAUCCUUCAUGUAAUUUUGAGUUCUUGGCAGACACUGGGACACAAGCAUUUCUGUGUCUGACUGCUGAGCAGCCUACUCUUCUAUGAUUGUCUUGCUGAUCAUAAGUAAAUUGAAGUGGGAGGAAGGUCUCCAAAUAAUAUUGCAACUGCAGGAGAUAGUGCAUGGGCUGCUGUAAGGUCUGUCCUGCAUAGCUGCCUGAUCCACACAGAGACAUGUGGACUACCCUAGCUGGUUCAGAGGUCAGUAGGUAAGGGGAGAGCAUGGUCUAGGCCUUUGACUUAUUUAUCGUUAGAACCUGUCCCUGAUAUACUCUUUUGCCUUUGCUUAUUUAAUCUCCCAGCAAUUAUUCCUGCUUCUGAAAACAGGAACUGCCUCUGCCUCAGUUGAAAUGGUGCACAGUGCACAAGUCUGUUUUUCUUAAUCUGGGCCUUUGAAAGCCUGUGGGUAGAGAUAAAAAUUAGUGCUAUCAGAAUGACAUGUGUCCUUACCCACAAGUCCAUAGUGUGCACUUCUGUCAAGGUGCAAUUUGCCUAACCUUGUUAUGAAAAGCUCUGGUGUUUAUAUGGUCCUGGCCUGGAAAGACUGCUGUCAGCAGAAAAGCAGAUGCCCUCUCUUGCUUGUCUUUAUAACCAUCAGGAUAAUGCCAUGCUCCAGGGUAAUUUCUAGCAUGUCAUUACACACAUAUUGCAUUGUAGGUUGGUUUAG
Molecule: long non-coding RNA, 3513 nt
Organism: Apus apus (common swift)
Lineage: Eukaryota; Metazoa; Chordata; Aves; Apodiformes; Apodidae
Exons: 3
Source: RefSeq, a predicted model, not a curated record